CACGGCGAUGGCCGAGCCGGUCUGGGCCACAUCCUUUUCGGGGCUGAUGGCGGCCACGAUCUUGCCGGUGUUGUUGAUCGUGGUCAGCGUGCCGGAU
Molecule: transfer RNA, 97 nt
Filed under: Brevundimonas olei
Lineage: Bacteria; Pseudomonadati; Pseudomonadota; Alphaproteobacteria; Caulobacterales; Caulobacteraceae
Also listed under: 1 other name
Description: tRNA-Glu
Source: RNAcentral